Molecule: ribosomal RNA, 497 nt
Filed under: uncultured bacterium
Lineage: Bacteria
Description: partial 16S ribosomal RNA
Rfam family: Bacterial small subunit ribosomal RNA
Source: RNAcentral
GAUGAACGCUGGCGGCGUGCCUAAUACAUGCAAGUCGAGCGAACAGAUGAGGAUCUUGCUCCUCUGACGUUAGCGGCGGACGGGUGAGUAACACGUGUAUAACCUACCUAUAAGACUGGGAUAACUUCGGGAAACCGGAUCUAAUACCGGAUAAUAUAUUGAACCGCAUGGUUCAAUAGUGAACGACGGUUUUGCUGUCACUUAUAGAUGGAUCCGCGCCGCAUUAGCUAGUUGGUAAGGUAACGGCUUACCAAGGCAACGAUGCGUAGCCGACCUGAGAGGGUGAUCGGCCACACUGGAACUGAGACACGGUCCAGACUCCUACGGGAGGCAGCAGUAGGGAAUCUUACGCAAUGGGCGAAAGCAUGACGGAGCAACGCCGCGUGAGUGAUGAAGGUCUUCGGAUCGUAAAACUCUGUUAUUAGGGAAGAACAAAUGUGUAAGUAACUAUGCACGUCUUGACGGUACCUAAUCAGAAAGCCACGGCUAACUACGUG